RNAcentral lists this ribosomal RNA (389 nucleotides) under Cumanotus beaumonti. Its description in RNAcentral is "partial large subunit ribosomal RNA". It matches the Rfam family "Archaeal large subunit ribosomal RNA", at positions 1916 to 2612 of the family's 2987-position model. The record is from RNAcentral. Lineage: Eukaryota; Metazoa; Mollusca; Gastropoda; Nudibranchia; Cumanotidae.
AGCCAUUAGAAGGUAUUAAUGGUUUAACCUGCCCAAUGUUUAAUUAUCAAUGGCCGCGGUACCCUGACCGUGCUAAGGUAGCGUAAUCAGUUGGCUUUUAAAUGGAGUCAGGAAUGAAUGGGAUAACCGGGUUUAGCUGUCUCUUAGCUAUUAUUUUGAAUUUACUGUUUAAGUGAAAAAGCUUAAAUUAUAUAAAGGGACGAGAAGACCCUUAGAACUUUCUUUAAGGCAGGAGGAAAAUAUCUUGUUGUGAUUUUGUUGGGGCGACAAAGGUAUAGUUAGAACUUCCUUUAAAUUACAAGCCGAUUAUAUUAAGAAAGGAUAAGUUACCUGAGGGAUAACAGCAUAAUUCUAAAAUUGAGUUUGUGACCUCGAUGUUGGACUAGGAA